RNAcentral lists this non-coding RNA (27 nucleotides) under Mus musculus (house mouse). The record is from RNAcentral. Lineage: Eukaryota; Metazoa; Chordata; Mammalia; Rodentia; Muridae.
UGAUGAGUAUGAAGUGUCCCUCCUUGU